Molecule: unclassified non-coding RNA, 326 nt
Filed under: soil metagenome
Description: partial contains 5.8S ribosomal RNA, internal transcribed spacer 2, and large subunit ribosomal RNA
Rfam family: 5.8S ribosomal RNA (bases 1-120)
Source: RNAcentral
GAUGAAGAACGUAGCGAAAUGCGAUAAGUAAUGUGAAUUGCAGAAUUCAGUGAAUCAUCGAAUCUUUGAACGCACAUUGCGCCCCUUGGUAUUCCGAGGGGCAUGCCUGUUCGAGCGUCAUAUUAACCACUCCCGCUUGCGGGGUCUUGGGCUUCGCCUCCGGGCGGGCCUUAAAAUCAGUGGCGGUGCCGUCGGGCUCUACGCGUAGUAAAUUUUCUCGCGAUAGGGUCCCGGUGGAUGCUUGCCAACAACCCCCACCUUCUUCAGGUUGACCUCGGAUCAGGUAGGGAUACCCGCUGAACUUAAGCAUAUCAAUAAGCGGAGGA